GGAUUUUCCAGGCAAGAGUACUGGAGUGGGUUGCCAUUGCUUUCUCCGAUGUAUACACUACCAUGUAUAAAAUAGAUAGCUAGUAAGAAGCUGCUGUGUAGCACAGGGAACUUAACUUGAUGCUCUGUGAUGACCUAGAAAGGUGGGAUGGGAGGGUUGGAGGCAGGUUUUAGAGGGAGGGAAUAUAUAUAUACAUAUAGCUGAUUCACUUCAUUGUACAGCAGAAACUAACACAAUCUUGUAAAGCAAUUAUACUCCAAUAAUAAAAUAAAAAGAAUUGGAUGCCUUUUCAAAUGGAUAUGUGGAGGGGAGGCAAUGACUUGCCUAGGUGCAAGAGAGGAGAGCAAAGGAGGAGUUGCACACUCAGCCUCUGCUUCAUCAUCCUGAUCAAUUCCACUCUGGUCCCAAAGAUGCACAGCUCACUGAGUAAAAUAAACAUAUUGUGUGUAACUUGACCCAUCCUCCUAAAAAGUUGUUUUAAAACCAGUUAUCUGUUUUUAUACAAUCAUGUUCCUGGUGGCUCUUCCCAACCCACAUGGCUUAUCAGAGUAUCUGUUAUAAACUUGUCCCUUUCUAUAUCUGAGAGAAGUUUUGGUAACCUCAGACUUCCCUUUCUCUUCAUAUUUCCAGGGUCGAUUUUAUAAUGAAGUUUCACUGCUAUUUUUAGGUUGGCAUUCCAGGCAGGGGCCUACCAGCUUCCUCCUAAGACAUCAUUGCUCAACUACCUCCAUUCUAGGAGAAAAACCAAGAAAUCUUUCCCUUUGCCCCAAGCAGUGUGGUUUUCCUGCUACUCUGGUGUAUCGACACCAACUUAUGUUUGUCAAUGUAGGGUUCCCAGCCCACAGUCUAUAAGGCAGCCUAGUACAAAAGUUUUGCACAAGAGGAUUGACAGUGAUUAAGUAAACAAAUCAGAUGGUCUCUCUUAUUGAGUUCUCAGGGCUUCCCUCGUGGCUCAGUUGGUAAAGAAUCUGCCUGCAAUGCAGGAGAUACAAGUUUAAUACCUGAGUCAGGAAGAUCCCCUGGAGAAGGAAAUGGCAACCCACUUCAGUAUUCUUGCCUGGCAAAGGAGAACAAGGCUCUCUUCCAGCAAUUGCCACGGAAAUUUCAUUGCAUUGGUUCUAUUUCUGAGCCUAUCCCUGUGGCUUUUGCUGGAAUCCAAGUGUUUCACCAGAUAACUUGGACUGAGAGAAAGAGAGGGAAGGAUGGAAGCAAAGAUGGAUCCUCAGAGGGAAAUGCAAGAACGGUUACCAGAAAGGUAACGGAUGAGUGCUGUGUGGCCAAAAUAACAGCUCACACAGUUCAUAUACUUGGAACGUUUAGAACUCACUUCGUAUUGUUUCCUAGGGCUUUUGUAACAAAAUACCAGACUGAGUGGCUCAAACAGAAAUUUAUUGACUCAUAGCCCUGGAGGCUGGAAGUUCAAGAUCAAGGUGCUGUCAGUGUUGGUUCCUUCUGAGAACCAUGAUGGAAAAUCUGUUCCAAGCCUCUCUCCUAGCUUCUGGUGGCUUGCUGGCAGUCUUUGGAGUUGUUUGACUUACAGAGGCAUUGCUCUGAUUUCUUUUCUCAUCUUCACAUGGCAUUUUCUCUGUGUUCAAAUUCUCUCUUAUAAGGACAUCAGUAAUUCUGACUAGGGGUCCACUCUACCUGAGUACAGUCUCAUUCUAACUAACUAUAUCUACACUGCUCUACUUCCAAAUAAU
Molecule: long non-coding RNA, 1700 nt
Filed under: Capra hircus (goat)
Lineage: Eukaryota; Metazoa; Chordata; Mammalia; Artiodactyla; Bovidae
Description: lncRNA (ENSCHIG00010026150.1)
Source: RNAcentral